Molecule: ribosomal RNA, 378 nt
Filed under: uncultured Streptococcus sp.
Lineage: Bacteria; Bacillati; Bacillota; Bacilli; Lactobacillales; Streptococcaceae
Description: bacterial SSU rRNA
Rfam family: Bacterial small subunit ribosomal RNA
Source: RNAcentral
GAGAUAGAAAGUUACUCGGUACGAUCGGUGACAGGUGGUGCAUGGUUGUCGUCAGCUCGUGUCGUGAGAUGUUGGGUUAAGUCCCGCAACGAGCGCAACCCCUAUUGUUAGUUGCCAUCAUUCAGUUGGGCACUCUAGCGAGACUGCCGGUAAUAAACCGGAGGAAGGUGGGGAGUGACGUCAAAUCAUCAUGCCCCUUAUGACCUGGGCUACACACGUGCUACAAUGGUUGGUACAACGAGUUGCGAGUCGGUGACGGCGAGCUAAUCUCUUAAAGCCAAUCUCAGUUCGGAUUGUAGGCUGCAACUCGCCUACAUGAAGUCGGAAUCGCUAGUAAUCGCGGAUCAGCACGCCGCGGUGAAUACGUUCCCGGGCCUU